GUGAUAAUGUGCAGAUAAGAUUGCCGCGUAUUUCAAGCUGAGAAAUGGAAUUCGACAAAGACACAUCAAAGAGUCACUACCAGUCUCUGAAAAGCCGAUCUGUAUUGCUGACCAGCCCUACAGUCUCAAAUGGAAUUUGGACUAAUGUUUCCAUUACCAAGAUAAGCCCAGGUUUCGUAUUCUCAUUUUAGAGAUGAUACAACUAAGGACCAAGAGAAGUUUAACGUUGGUCACAUGA
This is a long non-coding RNA of Suricata suricatta (meerkat), 238 nucleotides long. RefSeq lists it as uncharacterized. The transcript has 3 exons. Lineage: Eukaryota; Metazoa; Chordata; Mammalia; Carnivora; Herpestidae. The record is from RefSeq and is a predicted model, not a curated record.